This is a small nuclear RNA of Protobothrops mucrosquamatus (brown spotted pit viper), 108 nucleotides long. The record is from RefSeq and is a predicted model, not a curated record. NCBI's taxonomy places the organism in Eukaryota, Metazoa, Chordata, Lepidosauria, Squamata, Viperidae.
AUGCUCACUUCAUCAGCACAUAUAUUAAAAUUGGAAUGAUACAAAGAAGGUUAGCAUGGCUCCUGUGCAAGGAUGACAUACAAACUGUUCCAUAUUUUGAUGCUUUUU